UACCGCCCCGUUCUGCGCUCGGA
This 23-nucleotide microRNA is filed under the name Gallus gallus (chicken). RNAcentral's name for it is "gga-miR-7477-3p". Lineage: Eukaryota; Metazoa; Chordata; Aves; Galliformes; Phasianidae. The record is from miRBase by way of RNAcentral.